Long non-coding RNA from Sphaeramia orbicularis (orbiculate cardinalfish), 148 nucleotides. RefSeq lists it as uncharacterized. The record is from RefSeq and is a predicted model, not a curated record. The transcript is spliced from 3 exons. Lineage: Eukaryota; Metazoa; Chordata; Actinopteri; Kurtiformes; Apogonidae.
AAAACUCAUAAUUUAACGAAAAUAAUGUUGUACUUUUAUGAAAUUAAAGUCAUAAUAUUUUGAAAAUAAAUUCACAAUAGUGCGAUAAAAAGUCAUAAUUUAGAAAGUGUAAGCCUUAAACCUUGUUGAUGACAGUUUCUGUUUACAG